Molecule: transfer RNA, 59 nt
Filed under: Cautires simillimus
Lineage: Eukaryota; Metazoa; Arthropoda; Insecta; Coleoptera; Lycidae
Description: tRNA-Ser
Source: RNAcentral
AGAAUCCUCCAUAAAAAGCUUCUAACUUUUAAUAAAGCAUUAACAUGUUUAUGAUUCUU